Long non-coding RNA from Meriones unguiculatus (Mongolian gerbil), 1472 nucleotides. RefSeq lists it as uncharacterized. The transcript is spliced from 3 exons. The record is from RefSeq and is a predicted model, not a curated record. NCBI's taxonomy places the organism in Eukaryota, Metazoa, Chordata, Mammalia, Rodentia, Muridae.
UUGAAGACUGGCCUUGUCAUGAGUGAGCAGCGGCAGUGGAGCCGGGACUUGGUUGCUCUCUUCUGCUAAACUUUCUUGCCCUUCUGCUUCAGCGGUGGAUGAUACAUGCAUGAGAAAGCCCUGUUGACUGCAGGCCCUUUGCCCUUGGGCUCCCCAGAACUUGGAGCCCUCAUGCCAGCACAGUGUAAGAGGCAGAUGGAGGAAGGCAGCUGCUCACAUUUGCCGAGGAGAAGCCCGCCCUGUGAUUCGGAUGGCAUGAAGGAAGACCAAGGCAGCAAAAGCGCCCAAGCUGCAGGGCUGACCUCUGCAUAAGCCCGGCGACUGUGCGGCCGCCUCCAUAACACAUGUGAGACAGGAGCCUGGAGUCUGGACAGUGCCCUGGGCUUCAGGGAUGUCAGCAGCCUCAUACAAGUCAGCACCCGGCAGGACUGCAGAGAUGGCUCUGUUGGUAAAGCGCUUGCCAUGGGAGCAGCAGAACCCGGGAGCGAGGUCAGUCCCAACCAUCCAUGGAACAGGCAGAUGUGGAGUUCUGUGCCUGUGAUCCAAGGACUGGGGAGGCAGAGAUAGGGCAGUCCAGGGCUUGCUGGCCAGCCAACCUAGACCAAUCCAAGAGCUCCAGGUUUGCCUCAGAAAUAAAGUGGAGAGCCAGCGAGGAAGACUCAGCCAUCUAACUGGGCUCCACAGCACAUAGGCAUAUAUGCACAUGCCCUCGCAUGCUGGGCUUCAAAGCCAGGGCACAGCACAUGCAGGUAAGCGCUGGGCCGCUGGCUCACUCCCAAGCCAUGUUCAGGCCCUGUGAGCACCCAAGGUGGCUGCUGGAGGCCCAGCGAGGGCCCAGCAGCUGUGACGUGUCAAGCCUGGGCUGCUCUGACUCCUGCAGAUAGUCAAGUCAAGGCUAAGUCCCUGGAGAGCCCGCUUUGCCACUGUGAGGUGAGGUGAUGCGCCCUCGGCUUAUUUUGCCUGGUUUUUCCCUCCCUCGGAAAGUUCCAGUGAGGUCUUAUUUCCCGGAUCCACGCCAGGUCAUGCUGCCUCGGCAGCUGCGACCCCUCGCUUUGGAUCUGAGUGUGCUCUGGCCACAUGAGCACUGCAGCUGCCUUCCUCACUGGGCAGUGCGGUCAGGGUGGAAGUCAGGCCUCCACCGCAUGAAGGCAGGAGGUCGCAGCCUGGCUCUCAGCCACAGGGACAGUCCCCACUACAAGUCCCCGUGUGUGUUUACAGACUUAUUUUUAUUUUUGAUGUGUAUGAAUGUUUUGCCUUCAGGUAUGUAAAUGUACCACAGAAGCGCCUAUGUUCCUGGAGGCCAGAGAGGGUGUCUGGUCCCCUGGAGCUGGGCUUGUAAGAGGUUGGGAACCUUUGCGUGGGUGCUGGGAACUGAACCCCUGUCCUCUGCAAGAGCAGCUAGCGCUUAACCACCAAGCCGUCUCUCCAGGCUCAUGAUUUUCUAUCCCCCUCCUUGCUGCCUCUUCUCUCUA